This 510-nucleotide ribosomal RNA is filed under the name uncultured bacterium. RNAcentral's name for it is "partial 16S ribosomal RNA". It matches the Rfam family "Bacterial small subunit ribosomal RNA", at positions 28 to 507 of the family's 1533-position model. The record is from RNAcentral.
GACGAACGCUGGCGGCGUGCUUAACACAUGCAAGUCGAACGAAGAGCGAUGGAAGCUUUCUUCUAUCAAUCUUAGUGGCGAACGGGUGAGUAACGCGUAAUCAACCCGCCCUUCAGAGGGGGACAACAGUUGGAAACGACUGCUAAUACCGCAUACGAUCUAAUCUCGGCAUCGAGGAUAGAUGAAAGGUGGCCGCUACAUGUAAGCUAUCACUGAAGGAGGGGAUUGCGUCUGGUUAGCUAGUUGGAGGGGGAACGGCCCACCAAGGCGAUGAUGAGUAGGCGGUCCGAGAGGAUGGACGGCCCAAUUGGGACUGGGACAAGGCCCCGGCUCCUAAGGGGGGGAGCCGGGGGGAAACUUCCGCAAUGGACGAAAGGCUGGCGGAGCAACGCCCCGGGAGUGGUGACGGCCUUCGGGUUGUAAAGCUCUGUUAAUCGGGACGAAAGGCCUUCUUGCGAACAGUUAGAAGGAUUGACGGUACCGGAAUAGAAAGCCACGGCUAACUACGUG